GACGAACGCUGGCGGCGUGCCUAAUACAUGCAAGUCGAGCGAGCUUGCCUAGAUGAAUUUGGUGCUUGCACCAGAUGAGACUAGAUACAAGCGAGCGGCGGACGGGUGAGUAACACGUGGGUAACCUGCCCAAGAGACUGGGAUAACACCUGGAAACAGAUGCUAAUACCGGAUAACAACACUAGACGCAUGUCUAGAGUUUAAAAGAUGGUUCUGCUAUCACUCUUGGAUGGACCUGCGGUGCAUUAGCUAGUUGGUAAGGUAACGGCUUACCAAGGCAAUGAUGCAUAGCCGAGUUGAGAGACUGAUCGGCCACAUUGGGACUGAGACACGGCCCAAACUCCUACGGGAGGCAGCAGUAGGGAAUCUUCCACAAUGGACGCAAGUCUGAUGGAGCAACGCCGCGUGAGUGAAGAAGGGUUUCGGCUCGUAAAGCUCUGUUGGUAGUGAAGAAAGAUAGAGGUAGUAACUGGCCUUUAUUUGACGGUAAUUACU
RNAcentral lists this ribosomal RNA (495 nucleotides) under uncultured bacterium. RNAcentral describes it as "bacterial SSU rRNA". It matches the Rfam family "Bacterial small subunit ribosomal RNA", at positions 28 to 483 of the family's 1533-position model. The record is from RNAcentral.